This 326-nucleotide long non-coding RNA is filed under the name Helianthus annuus (common sunflower). RNAcentral's name for it is "sRNA HanXRQr2_Chr15g0684861". It matches the Rfam family "Bacterial small subunit ribosomal RNA", at positions 929 to 1520 of the family's 1533-position model. Lineage: Eukaryota; Viridiplantae; Streptophyta; Magnoliopsida; Asterales; Asteraceae. The record is from RNAcentral.
GCGGGAAAUGGAACAAAAAGCUGCUGAAUUGGCCUAUUUCUUGCGUGUACCAAUUGAAGUAUUUUAAGAAAUGAGUCGAUAAAUGAAUGCUUUCAGUUCGGAUUGCAAGCUGCAACUCGCCUGCAUGAAGCUGGAAUCGCUAGUAAUCGCCGGUUAGCCAUACGACGGUGAAUCCGUUCCCAGGCCUUGUACACACCGCCCGUCACACUAUGGGAACUGGCCAUGCCCGAAGUCGUUACCUUAACCGCAAGGAGGGGGAUGCCGAAGGCAGGGCUAGUGACUGGAGUGAAGUCGUAACAAGGUAGCCAUACUGGAAGGUGCGGCUG